AUUGAACGCUGGCGGCAGGCCUAACACAUGCAAGUCGAGCGGAUGAAGGGAGCUUGCUCCUGGAUUCAGCGGCGGACGGGUGAGUAAUGCCUAGGAAUCUGCCUGGUAGUGGGGGAUAACGUCCGGAAACGGGCGCUAAUACCGCAUACGUCCUGAGGGAGAAAGUGGGGGAUCUUCGGACCUCACGCUAUCAGAUGAGCCUAGGUCGGAUUAGCUAGUUGGUGGGGUAAGGGCCUACCAAGGCGACGAUCCGUAACUGGUCUGAGAGGAUGAUCAGUCAGACUGGAACUGAGACACGGUCCAGACUCCUACGGGAGGCAGCAGUGGGGAAUAUUGGACAAUGGGCGAAAGCCUGAUCCAGCCAUGCCGCGUGUGUGAAGAAGGUCUUCGGAUUGUAAAGCACUUUAAGUUGGGAGGAAGGGCAGUAAGUUAAUACCUUGCUGUUUUGACGUUACCAACAGAAUAAGCACCGGCUAACUUCGUG
Molecule: ribosomal RNA, 484 nt
Filed under: uncultured bacterium
Lineage: Bacteria
Description: partial 16S ribosomal RNA
Rfam family: Bacterial small subunit ribosomal RNA
Source: RNAcentral